ACCCCUCGGAAAAGCGGGAAUAUAUUCGCAUUUCGCCUCGGAGAAAACGCUAAUUCUUGAACUCCGCCUACAGGCCGCCGAUGCCAGAUAGCUAGUUCGUAGGGUAAGGCUCAACAAGGCGACGAUCUGUAGCUGUCGAGAGGGACGACCAGCCACCACUGGACUGAGACACGGCCCAGACUCCUUACCGGGAGGCAGCAGUGGGGAAUUUGGACAAUGGGCGCAAGCCUGAUCCAGCAAUGCCGCGUGUGUGAAGAAGGCUUCGGGUUGUAAAGCACUUUUGUCCGGAAAGAAAACCGCCUGGCUAAUAUCCGGGCGGGAUGACGGUACCGGAAGAAUAAGCACCGGCUAACUACGUGCCAGCAGCCGCGGUAAUACGUAGGGUGCAAGCGUUAAUCGGAAUUACUGGGCGUAAAGCGUGCGCAGGCGGUUUUGUAAGUCUGUUGUGAAAUCCCCGGGCUUAACCUGGGAAUGGCAAUGGAGACUGCAAGGCUAGAGUUUGGCAGAGGGGGGUAGAAUUCCACGUGUAGCAGUGAAAUGCGUAGAGAUGUGGAGGAACACCGAUGGCGAAGGCAGCCCCCUGGGUCAAGACUGACGCUCAUGCACGAAAGCGUGGGGAGCAAACAGGAUUAGAUACCCUGGUAGUCCACGCCCUAAACGAUGUCUACUAGUUGUCGGGUCUUAAUUGACUUGGUAACGCAGCUAACGCGUGAAGUAGACCGCCUGGGGAGUACGGUCGCAAGAUUAAAACUCAAAGGAAUUGACGGGGACCCGCACAAGCGGUGGAUGAUGUGGAUUAAUUCGAUGCAACGCGAAAAACCUUACCUACCCUUGACAUGUACGGAAGCCACGAGAGAUCGAGGUGUGCUCGAAAGAGAACCGUAACAUAGGUGCUGCAUGGCUGUCGUCAGCUCGUGUCGUGAGAUGUUGGGUUAAGUCCCGCAACGAGCGCAACCCUUGUCAUUAGUUGCUACGAAAGAGCACUCUAAUGAGACUGCCGGUGACAAACCGGAGGAAGGUGGGGAUGACGUCAAGUCCUCAUGGCCCUUAUGGGUAGGGCUUCACACGUCAUACAAUGGUACAUACAGAGGGCCGCCAACCCGCGAGGGGGAGCUAAUCCCAGAAAGUGUAUCGUAGUCCGGAUUGUAGUCUGCAACUCGACUGCAUGAAGUUGGAAUCGCUAGUAAUCGCGGAUCAGCAUUCGCGUAAGCUA
This 1213-nucleotide ribosomal RNA is filed under the name uncultured bacterium. Its description in RNAcentral is "partial 16S ribosomal RNA". It matches the Rfam family "Bacterial small subunit ribosomal RNA", at positions 145 to 1368 of the family's 1533-position model. The record is from RNAcentral.